GGCCAGGUAGCUCAGUCGGUAGAGCAGGGGACUGAAAAUCCCCGUGUCGGCAGUUCGAUUCUGCCCCUGGCCA
RNAcentral lists this transfer RNA (73 nucleotides) under Acidiferrobacterales bacterium. RNAcentral's name for it is "tRNA-Phe". It matches the Rfam family "tRNA". Rfam says of the family: Transfer RNA (tRNA) molecules are approximately 80 nucleotides in length. Their secondary structure includes four short double-helical elements and three loops (D, anti-codon, and T loops). Lineage: Bacteria; Pseudomonadati; Pseudomonadota; Gammaproteobacteria; Acidiferrobacterales. The record is from RNAcentral.